AACGAACGCUGGCGGCAUGCCUAACACAUGCAAGUCGAACGAGACCUUCGGGUCUAGUGGCGCACGGGUGCGUAACGCGUGGGAACCUGCCCUUAGGUUCGGAAUACUUCCCUGACAGGGGUGCUAAUACCGGAUAAUGUACUCGAACCAAAGAUUCAUCGCGUUUGGAUGAGCCCGCGUUGGAUUAGCUAGUGGGUAGGGUAAAAGCCUACCACGGCGAGGCUCCAUAGCUGGUCUGAGAGGAGGCGCAGCCACACUGGGGCUGGGACACGGCCCAGACUCCUACGGGAGGCAGGAGUGGGGAAUAUAGGACAAUGGGCGAAAGCCUGAACCAGCAAUGCCGGGUGAGUGAUGAAGGCCUUAGGGUUGUAAAGCUCUUUUACCCGGGAUGAUAAUGACAGUACCGGGAGAAUAAGCUCCGGCUAACUCCGUG
This 433-nucleotide ribosomal RNA is filed under the name uncultured bacterium. RNAcentral's name for it is "partial 16S ribosomal RNA". It matches the Rfam family "Bacterial small subunit ribosomal RNA", at positions 29 to 507 of the family's 1533-position model. The record is from RNAcentral.